Long non-coding RNA from Heterocephalus glaber (naked mole-rat), 384 nucleotides. NCBI's taxonomy places the organism in Eukaryota, Metazoa, Chordata, Mammalia, Rodentia, Bathyergidae. The record is from Ensembl.
CCUUCUAGAGCCAAGCAGUGUCUCCAGACUUCCUCCCACUGAGCUCCUAACUAACAUUUCCUCCCCUCCGCCUAAAAGGAGAGACGGAAUAUGCAGACGCUGGAGCCCAGGUGAAUGGUGAACCAAACCACGGUGGACACUACCGCUUUCUUCUGAGAUGGAAUCUGCUGCAGCGGCCAAGCUGGUCUCGUGCUCCUGGGCUGGAGGAGGGACCCUCCUGCCUCGGUCUCCAGUAGCUGAACCUGCAGCAAAUCCCCACUAGGAAGGCGACCCUCUCAGACUGCGGGCAAGUGCCAAGAAAGCGGAGUUAACAUGGGCGUGUAGGUGCACACCUGUAAUCCAAUCCCAGCAUUUGGGAGGCUGAGGCAGGAGGAUCGGCCGGAG